Molecule: long non-coding RNA, 270 nt
Organism: Arabidopsis thaliana (thale cress)
Lineage: Eukaryota; Viridiplantae; Streptophyta; Magnoliopsida; Brassicales; Brassicaceae
Product: other RNA
Exons: 2
Source: RefSeq
UACAGUAUCCAAGGUGGGGAAGUUAAAGACUAGAUCUUACUCAGGAAUUCAUAAACACUGAGGUCAAAAUCGAACAACAUCACACAAAGGAAACAGCUCUCUUGGAUCAAGCCUUCUGUACCUACUGUUGGGUUUGUGAACGCCUUGGCCCCUUUAUAAAGUUUUAAAUCUAGUCCAUUAAGGCUCAUUUAUCGUUAGACUUACUGGGCCUGUAUAGGCCCGAGGACAGAUGUUAUUUUGUUAUGUUGAAAUCGGGAGUUCAAAUUUUCG